ACUCCUACGGGAGGCAGCAGUGGGGAAUAUUGCACAAUGGGGGAAACCCUGAUGCAGCCAUGCCGCGUGUGUGAAGAAGGCCUUCGGUUGUAAAGCACUUUCAGUAGGGAGGAAGGUAGUGUAGUUAACACCUGCAUUAUUUGUACGUUACCUACAGAAGAAGCACCGGCUAACUCCGUGCCAGCAGCCGCGGUAAUACGGAGGGUGCGAGCGUUAAUCGGAAUUACUGGGCGUAAAGCGCAUGCAGGCGGCCUGUUAAGUCAGAUGUGAAAGCCCGGGGCUUAACCUCGGAAUUGCAUUUGAAACUGGCAGGCUAGAGUCUUGUAGAGGGGUUAGAAUUUCAGGUGUAGCGGUGAAAUGCGUAGAGAUCUGAAGGAAUACCAGUGGCGAA
This 391-nucleotide ribosomal RNA is filed under the name uncultured bacterium. Its description in RNAcentral is "bacterial SSU rRNA". It matches the Rfam family "Bacterial small subunit ribosomal RNA", at positions 335 to 719 of the family's 1533-position model. The record is from RNAcentral.